UACAGAGGUCUCAAGCGUUGUUCGGAUUCAUUGGGCGUAAAGGGUGUGUAGGUGGCGCCGUAAGUCGGGUGUGAAAUUUCGGAGCUUAACUCCGAAACUGCAUUCGAUACUGCGGUGCUUGAGGACUGGAGAGGAGACUGGAAUUCAUGGUGUAGCAGUGAAAUGCGUAGAUAUCGUGAGGAAGACCAGUGGCGAAGGCGGAUCUCUGGACAGCUCCUGACGCUGAGGCGCGAAGGCUAGGGGAGCAAACGGG
RNAcentral lists this ribosomal RNA (253 nucleotides) under uncultured bacterium. Its description in RNAcentral is "partial 16S ribosomal RNA". It matches the Rfam family "Bacterial small subunit ribosomal RNA", at positions 524 to 776 of the family's 1533-position model. The record is from RNAcentral.